GACGAACGCUGGCGGCGUGCUUAACACAUGCAAGUCGAACGGAAAGGCCCUGCUUUUGUGGGGUGCUCGAGUGGCGAACGGGUGAGUAACACGUGAGAACCUGCCCUUGACUUUGGGAUAACUUCAGGAAACUGGGGCUAAUACCGGAUAGGAGCUCCUGCUGCAUGGUGGGGGUUGGAAAGUUUCGGCGGUUGGGGAUGGACUCGCGGCUUAUCAGCUUGUUGGUGGGGUAGUGGCUUACCAAGGCUUUGACGGGUAGCCGGCCUGAGAGGGUGACCGGCCACAUUGGGACUGAGAUACGGCCCAGACUCCUACGGGAGGCAGCAGUCGGGAAUAUUGCACAAUGGGCGGAAGCCUGAUGCAGCAACGCCGCGUGCGGGAUGACGGCCUUCGGGUUGUAAACCGCUUUCGCCUGUGACGAAGCGUGAGUGACGGUAAUGGGUAAAGAAGCACCGGCUAACUACGUG
RNAcentral lists this ribosomal RNA (467 nucleotides) under uncultured bacterium. RNAcentral describes it as "partial 16S ribosomal RNA". It matches the Rfam family "Bacterial small subunit ribosomal RNA", at positions 28 to 507 of the family's 1533-position model. The record is from RNAcentral.